Molecule: long non-coding RNA, 2666 nt
Filed under: Homo sapiens (human)
Lineage: Eukaryota; Metazoa; Chordata; Mammalia; Primates; Hominidae
Description: HSALNT0072059
Source: RNAcentral
GAAAAGUUAUGUUUCUCUCUCAUUUGAAUAAAAGCACAUGAGAGUCAAAUUAUAAUUACAAAAAGGGGAUGACCAGACUUUUGUGAACUUGGGGUUGGACAAAUGCAUUGUAUCUAGAAUUUUACAUAAAUAGUUAGUCCUCAUAACAAACUUCUAAACACAAUUCUCAUUUUAAUGGUGAGAAAAAAGAUUAGUAACUUGCCCAAGGUACAAGCCCUAACAAGAACUGAGAUUUGAGUAUAGGUCUGUUUAGAUCCAAAGCCUAGGUACCUUUACAUCUUUACCAUACUACCUAAGUGUGGCACAUAUUAAGCCAUAUACAAAAAAAAAAAAAAAUAGUGGGAAAUAAUAAAACAAACAUUUGAAUUUUCGUUUUUCACAAAAAAUACAGCAGUAGAAAUGGUCAAGUGUUCAAGUUGUAAUUAAUUCAAUCUUCUCUCUCAGGGCUGUAAAUACUACUAUAAGAAGAAAAUACUACUACAUUUUACAGGUACUCUAUAUUUUACAUUUUAAAACAUGCUCCGCUGUCUAUUCUACUCCUUUACUUUUUUGCUUCUCUUCCACAUAGCUUCUGUCUGUGAGUAAUCAUAACAAUAUAAAGCAGCAGUUAUCACAGUGUGGACUCUUCAGGGAAUACAUGAAGUCAAAAUUAUUUCAUUAUUAUACUAAGACAUUAUAUAUCCUUAUGUUUCACAUUUUGCCUUUUCCCCUUGCUCUCAUUCCCUCAUGAGUAUAUGUUACAUGGUUUUCUAGAAGCUACAGGAUGUGUGGUGACAUUGCUCUGGCAGCUAAUGGAAUAUGUGCUUGAAUUUUUUAAAUUUCUGGGUCUUAAUUUCUAAUUAGAUAAAUAUCAACCACAUAAGCUAAAGGUGAAAACUUUAAGUGACACUUUCUGACCAUGUGAAUCUACCCUGUACUAAUUUCAACAAUAAUUCAGAAAAUGACUGAAACUAUUUCAUAACAAGUCUUUUCUUUAAAUUAUAUAAAGCACACAAAAAACCAGCUUUUCCCAAAAAAAGAAAAAAUCAUUUCACAUUCUUGUGUCAUGUAACAGAACUUGAAGACUUCAGUCAAAAAUCAAAAAUGUCAAAAUCCAGCAAAUGUUAAAGGUCUACCAAAUUUCCUUUCUUAACCUCUAUUACCAUAGAAGCCUAAACCAAAAUACUCAAUUUCUGAUACAGUGUAAAGUACUAUGCUAUGCAGACAAUAAUAGAAAAGAUUACAAAAAUGAGAAAAAUAUUACUUUCUGCCCUCACAGAGCUUACAAUCUAAAUCCUCAAAUUAAUUAGCAGGACAAAGUACCGACAAGUCUUUACAUAUUACAGAGCAAUGGCCACUAGAUGCAGUUUAUGCUAAAUGUUGUUUGAUGACAAACAUUCAAAAGUAUGGUACAUCCCUAAUUCAUUUCAAAGGUAGAUUUUUUUUACAUCAAUAAUAUGAUGCAGAUAUUAUCUAUCAUUGUUAUAAAAACAGAACUCCAAACGAAGCAACCGCUAAUGAUUAAAAAUAAAAUUAGCUCUAAAAAAUGACCAUAACAACAAAUACUAAGGACUUUCAUGUAUUUUUGCAUUCUUUGUGGCAUAUGACCUUCAAGAAGGUACCAAAGACCUAUUAUUUCCAUUUUUAAAGUAGUAAAUAGAAAAUCUUGAAACAAUGACACAUACUCUGAAAUUCCUUAAGAGAAAAUCAUAAAACCCUAUACUGAAAUAGCUAUAAAACCCUAUUCGAAUGUCCUCUUCCUUUAGAGGUAAACUUGUAUCAAAAAAUUUACUUUGGCUAAUGUAUAGCUAUUCCAAAAAGACUUAAAAGAAACCAGGAUUUAAAAAUUCAUCUUUAAGAAAUGCCUUAGAAGCUGGCAUAUAACUCUUUCAAAUUCACAAAUGUACAAGAAAGGUCAGGCACAGUGGCUCCCACCUAUAAUCCCAGCAUUCUGGGAGGCCAAGGUGAAAGGACUGGUUGAGCCCAGGAGUUUGAGACCAGCCUUGGCAACAUAGGGAAAAACCCACUGCACCAAAAAAAAUUUUUAACAGCCAGGGAUGGUGGCAUACAACUGUAGUCCCAGCUACUCAGGAAGCUGAGGUAGGAGGACUGCUUGAACCCAGGAGGUCAAGACUGCAGUAAGCCAUGAUUACACCACUGCACUCCAGCCUGGGUGACAGAAUAAAACCAUCUCAAAAAGAAAAAACAAACAAACAGAACAAAAAAACACGAGAAAAACCCAAAUGUACAAGAAAAUCAAUCUCAUUACUCAAUCAUUCUGUGGUUAGGCCACAAGUGGUAUUACAGCGCAACGCCAACCUCAGGUCACUACAGCAACUUAUGCGAUAGAUGUAUCAUUAGGAAAAUAAGACUAUCAGAUCUCCAAGGAGAUUUGUUGUAAGAGAGAAACAGUCAAAUGAGUAUGUCUCUACCCUGUGUUAAACUAAUCUUGCUGUCUUAAGACUUACUAUUUGGACUUCACUAUUUUCUUCCUUUUUUUGGCGGGGGGAGGGGGGAACAGAGCCUCGCUCCGUCAUCCAGGCUGCAGUGCAGUGGCGUGAUGUCGGUUCACUGCAACCUCUGCCUCCUGGGUUCAUGCAGUUCUCCUGCCUCAGAGGAUUGCUUGAAUCCAGGAGGCAGAGGCUGCAGUGAGCCAAGAUCGUGCCACUGCACUCCAGCCUGGCGAC